RNAcentral lists this ribosomal RNA (541 nucleotides) under Pseudomonas sp. RNAcentral's name for it is "partial 23S ribosomal RNA". It matches the Rfam family "Bacterial large subunit ribosomal RNA", at positions 1 to 528 of the family's 2925-position model. The record is from RNAcentral. Lineage: Bacteria; Pseudomonadati; Pseudomonadota; Gammaproteobacteria; Pseudomonadales; Pseudomonadaceae.
CAAUCAAGUGCCUUAAGGGUGUUCGACGGAUGCCUUGGCGCUGAGAGGCGAUGAAGGACGUGCUACGCUGCGAUAAGCUGUGGGGAGCUGCGAAGGAGCUUUGAUCCACAGAUUUCCGAAUGGGGAAACCCACCUUCGAUAGCCGGAACUCUAAGGUCAUCAUCACGCAAGUGAGGGUGAGCUUGGAUUUCCGGUUAUCAAGAGAAGGUAUGAAACUCCUGAAUACAUAGGGGGUUUUAAGCGAACCCGGGGAACUGAAACAUCUAAGUACCCGGAGGAAAGGACAUCAACCGAGACUCCGCUAGUAGUGGCGAGCGAACGCGGACCAGGCCAGUCAUCAAUGUGCGACAAUUGGAACCAGUCAGGAAAGCUGGGCCUUAGAGGGUGAUAGCCCCGUACAAGUAAUGCAAACAUUGAUGCUCGAGUAAGGCGGGACACGUGAAAUCCUGUCUGAACGUGGGGGGACCACCCUCCAAGCCUAAGUACUCCUCAGCGACCGAUAGUGAACAAGUACCGUGAGGGAAAGGUGAAAAGCACCCCG